UUGGUUAAGACGGUAUCUAGGUUUAAAACUGCGAUUGCUGUCAUAUCAUUGUUGCAAUUACAUUGCGGUUUUUCGAAUUGCUACAAAUGCAGCCAAUGUGAAUGUAAUUGUAACCGCAAUUUGGAAAAAUGCGUAGUGCCAACAAAAAAUGUCUUACAUUUUCUGUUUUUGUUGUUGCAGAUAUCCUCCUAUCUUAUGUCGCGACUACCUGAGCCAGCGCUACAAUGACACUCAUGCUGAUUUGAAAAUUUACAAGAAACAACAAUCAUAAUCAUAAGUAGAACUAGUCGGUGUUUCGAGAUGAGCAGCAUAGAGAAUUUUAUUUAUUAGCUUUGUCAAUUUCUUUAAGCUUUUUUAGCUGCAUGAUGUUUUAGGAAUAACAGCAUCAGAUUUUGUUGUAUUAUAUAGGUGUUGUUUAAUAGCAAAAUUAUUUUUUUAGGAGAGGGUGUGGCUUAGCUAUUUGGUUCAGUACUUAUUGUUAAAUCUAAAAGAAAAGCAUAUAUGAAAAAUCAUGCUUUUUAUCAAUAUUCAGUUAUUCAUUCCUAGCAUUAUUAUAAAUCAAAAGCAUUGUAGUUUUCUCUCAAUAUAGUAUUCUUACAUUAUGUGACACAAUAUAAUGUUGAUAUGUGAAGUUAGUUAUUAGUCCCACAA
This 651-nucleotide long non-coding RNA is filed under the name Trifolium pratense (red clover). RNAcentral describes it as "long non-coding RNA (TPRA_LNC004082)". Lineage: Eukaryota; Viridiplantae; Streptophyta; Magnoliopsida; Fabales; Fabaceae. The record is from RNAcentral.